GACGAACGCUGGCGGCGUGCUUAACACAUGCAAGUCGAACGGAAAGGCCCUGCUUUUGUGGGGUGCUCGAGUGGCGAACGGGUGAGUAACACGGGAGUAACCUGCCCUUGACUUUGGGAUAACUUCUGGAAACUGGGGCUAAUACCGGAUAGGAGCUCCUGCUGCAUGGUGGGGGUUGGAAAGUUUCGGCGGUUGGGGAUGGACUCGCGGCUUAUCAGCUUGUUGGUGGGGUAGUGGCUUACCAAGGCUUUGACGGGUAGCCGGCCUGAGAGGGUGACCGGCCACAUUGGGACUGAGAUACGGCCCAGACUCCUACGGGAGGCAGCAGUGGGGAAUAUUGCACAAUGGGCGGAAGCCUGAUGCAGCAACGCCGCGUGCGGGAUGACGGCCUUCGGGUUGUAAACCGCUUUCGCCUGUGACGAAGCGUGAGUGACGGUAAUGGGUAAAGAAGCACCGGCUAACUACGUG
Molecule: ribosomal RNA, 468 nt
Filed under: uncultured bacterium
Lineage: Bacteria
Description: partial 16S ribosomal RNA
Rfam family: Bacterial small subunit ribosomal RNA
Source: RNAcentral